GACGAACGCUGGCGGCGUGCUUAACACAUGCAAGUCGAACGGUGACCCAGGGCUUGCCCUGGUGAUCAGUGGCGAACGGGUGAGUAACACGUGGGCAACCUGCCCCUGACUUCGGGAUAACUCCUCGAAAGAGGAGCUAAUACCGGAUACGACCACUUCGGACAUCCGAUGGUGGUGGAAAGUUUUUCGGUCAGGGAUGGGCCCGCGGCCUAUCAGCUAGUUGGUGGGGUAAUGGCCUACCAAGGCGACGACGGGUAGCCGGCCUGAGAGGGCGACCGGCCACACUGGGACUGUGACACGGCCCAGACGCCUACGGGAGGCAGCAGUGGGGAAUAUUGCGCAAUGGGCGAAAGCCUGACGCAGCGACGCCGCGUGAGGGAUGG
This 383-nucleotide ribosomal RNA is filed under the name uncultured bacterium. RNAcentral describes it as "bacterial SSU rRNA". It matches the Rfam family "Bacterial small subunit ribosomal RNA", at positions 28 to 411 of the family's 1533-position model. The record is from RNAcentral.